GAUGAACGCUAGCGGGAGGCUUAACACAUGCAAGUCGAGGGGCAGCAUAGGGUAGCAAUACUCUGAUGGCGACCGGCGCACGGGUGAGUAACACGUAUGCAACCAACCCAUAACAGGGGGAUAACCCGGAGAAAUCCGGACUAAUACCGCAUAAGACCACGAUAUCGCAUGAUAUAGAGGUCAAAUAUUUAUAGGUUAUGGACGGGCAUGCGUCUGAUUAGCUGGUUGGCGGGGUAACGGCCCACCAAGGCAUCGAUCAGUAGGGGUUCUGAGAGGAAGGUCCCCCACAUUGGAACUGAGACACGGUCCAAACUCCUACGGGAGGCAGCAGUGAGGAAUAUUGGUCAAUGGGACGCAAGUCUGAACCAGCCAUGCCGCGUGGAGGAUGAAGGUCCUCUGGAUUGUAAACUUCUUUUAUCUGGGACGAAAAAAGGGUUUUCUAACUCGUCUGACGGUACCAGAUGAAUAAGCACCGGCUAACUCCGUGCCAGCAGCCGAC
Molecule: ribosomal RNA, 499 nt
Filed under: uncultured bacterium
Lineage: Bacteria
Description: bacterial SSU rRNA
Rfam family: Bacterial small subunit ribosomal RNA
Source: RNAcentral